This 62-nucleotide transfer RNA is filed under the name Ictidomys tridecemlineatus (thirteen-lined ground squirrel). Its description in RNAcentral is "Spermophilus tridecemlineatus (thirteen-lined ground squirrel) tRNA". It matches the Rfam family "tRNA". From Rfam's summary of the family: Transfer RNA (tRNA) molecules are approximately 80 nucleotides in length. Lineage: Eukaryota; Metazoa; Chordata; Mammalia; Rodentia; Sciuridae. The record is from Rfam by way of RNAcentral.
GGGGUUGUGGCUUAGUGGUAGAGCACUUGCCUGGAACGCAUGAGGCAAUGGAUUCGAUCCUC